RNAcentral lists this ribosomal RNA (212 nucleotides) under uncultured bacterium. RNAcentral describes it as "partial 16S ribosomal RNA". It matches the Rfam family "Bacterial small subunit ribosomal RNA", at positions 1289 to 1500 of the family's 1533-position model. The record is from RNAcentral.
CAGUUCGGAUUGAAGGGCUGAAAUUCGCCUUCAUGAAGCCGGGAAUUGCUAGUAAUGGCAGGUCAGCAUACUGCCGUGAAUACGUUCCCGGGCCUUGUACACACCGCCCGUCACACCAUGAGAGUUGGGAAUACCCGAAGCCUGUGAGCUAACGUAAGAGGCAGCAGUCGAAGGUAGAAUCAAUGAUUGGGGUGAAGUCGUAACAAGGUACC